GACGAACGCUGGCGGCGUGCUUAACACAUGCAAGUCGAACGGAAAGGCCCUGCUUGCAGGGUACUCGAGUGGCGAACGGGUGAGUAACAGGUGGGUGAUCUGCCCUGUACUUCGGGGUAAGCCUGGGAAACUGGGUCUAAUACCGGAUAGGAGCCAUUUUCUGUGUGAUGAUUGGAAAGAUUUUGCGGUGUAGGAUGAGCUCGUGGCCUAUCAGCUUGUUGGUGGGGUAGUGGCCUACCAAGGCGGCGACGGGUAGCCGGCCUGAGAGGGUGGACGGCCACCAUGGUACUGAGAUACGGACCAGACUCCUACGGGAGGCAGCAGUGGGGAAUAUUGCACAAUGGGCGCAAGCCUGAUGCAGCGACGCCGCGUGGGGAUGACGGCCUUCGUGUUGUAAACUCCUUUCGCUAGGGACGAAGCUUUUUGUGACGGUACCUAGAGAAGAAGCACCGGCUAACUACGUG
RNAcentral lists this ribosomal RNA (464 nucleotides) under uncultured bacterium. Its description in RNAcentral is "partial 16S ribosomal RNA". It matches the Rfam family "Bacterial small subunit ribosomal RNA", at positions 28 to 507 of the family's 1533-position model. The record is from RNAcentral.